Oryctolagus cuniculus (rabbit) is the source of this 894-nucleotide non-coding RNA. The record is from RefSeq and is a predicted model, not a curated record. NCBI's taxonomy places the organism in Eukaryota, Metazoa, Chordata, Mammalia, Lagomorpha, Leporidae.
GCGUCGUUCGCUGACGGCUCCUUUGGCAAUUCGCUGUUCUGUCAGCGCCUCCCUGAGCGACGGCCGGCGUGGAGGAGGCCCUCCCGGCCCACGGAAGCGCGAGCCGGGAAGGAGAGCCGGCGAGAUCUCGCCCUCGUGACUGUCAGGAAUCACUGCCUCCACCCGUGUGGUCACCCAGCCAGAACAAGUGAGGAGACUUGGUUGGUAGACAGCUCAAAUCAGCGCUUGUCUAUCGUCAGACACUGAAGCCCUUCCAGCUCCACGUUUUGCAGAAUGUAAAGAGGACUGACACCGAAGAGACACCUGAAAAAAUGUACAGCGUAUGGAAAGGCAUUCAAAGAGAAACAACUCUUUAUCCCUACCAAAAAACUUCAGAACAGUUAAAAAUUCUCAAGUGCAUUGUGAACAUGGGAAGGAUUUUACCUUUGUGUUCAUUUUGAUAAAGUUCAAGUACAUCCAUACCUUCAAAUGGCCCUACAAAUGUGUUAACAUGAGAAAGCCCCUACCCAGAGCUCCACCCCUCUUUGAGAACCAGAAUGUUCUCUUCACAGAGAAAGACCUUACAAAGGCGGGGCGUAAGGCCUAGCCUUGAGCAAAAGUUUGUAAUAUUCUUUCCUGUACCAACCAUGUUCAUAUUUUACAAAGUACUCAUAAGUGUGUGAAAUGUGGGGCACUUGCAUUCAGAGCUCUGCUCUCAUCAGCAACAGCAAAUUCAUGGCAGGGAAUGACUAUACAAAUGUAGUAACUGCAUGGAAGCUUUCAGUAAGAUAUAAAACCGUAUUCUUCAGAAUUUAUAUCAGAGACAGGCCUAACAAGUGCAGCUACGUUGGAAAGCCUCUUCUCACAGGUUAAAUUCAAUUUAGCUCAAGCAAGUUACUACAUUGUGAAUGUAGU